Molecule: long non-coding RNA, 951 nt
Filed under: Rattus norvegicus (Norway rat)
Lineage: Eukaryota; Metazoa; Chordata; Mammalia; Rodentia; Muridae
Description: long non-coding RNA NONRATT009769
Source: RNAcentral
UAUGACUCUCAUUGAAGUGAAGACCAGCAAAGACACGAGACCCCCUACUGGUCCUUUUUCACACUUCUCCAAACAUCACAUGUCCUCCACUGGCCUUGGCUCAGCACCUGUCUUGCCUCAGGACUUGCAUCUGUGGCAGCUGGCAUGACUCUGCCCAUCAGCCUGGGUCUUCGGAAACCGCAAGAAGCUGCAACACCUCACCAGAAGAUUUUUUGGUGCAUUUCUCUCUAUGGAGUCCCAACAAAUGCAGCUCAACUACACAAUAUGAGGCGGACCAAUCCUUCAUCACGUGUCCUUUCACAAGCUGGCUUUAGCAGAACAUCCUCUCUCCUGUGUCUGCUUCAGCUAAACGUUCCUUCCCGAGUCUGCCUUAGUCCUUCACCUGUGCUUCAUCACUUCAGGAAAACACUCCUCCACGUGUUUUCCCCAGCAAAACACCAUCUAACACAACUGACUUUCCAGAGAACCCUUAAGUUUUCACUUCAGCCCUGGAUUUAAAGCAAAUCCCCCUUUCUAAGACUUGCCACUUAAUUCCAUCUCCUAAGGACCUCACGCCACAGGCUGGACACUAACACAUGCUCUUAGGGGGAAACUCACACAGGCUGUAGCAGCACUUCUGUGUCUGAUUGGUACAUGAGUACUGUGGUAUUUACACAGCCUUUGAGCACCCAGUAGCCCUGGCAUACUAUCCUACAGACUGGGUUCUAACUGAUGUAAAAGUUCCUUCCAGGAACUUAGAGAUCAGACCUGGAAUAUGGGAAGGAGCACUGAAAAGUGGUGUCUUCUGUUCAUAUCAUAGCCAUUGCCCCAAAGAACUCAAAGCAGCAAUGGCUGCCUGCACAGACCUCCACAGGACUGGGCCUGCCAACACGCCAACCACUGCACUGAGAGGGACAAAGGUUACAAGGGAGUUGCAUUCUCAGUGGUGCAUUCACUGGUACAGAGACCCUU